RNAcentral lists this ribosomal RNA (450 nucleotides) under uncultured bacterium. RNAcentral describes it as "partial 16S ribosomal RNA". It matches the Rfam family "Bacterial small subunit ribosomal RNA", at positions 354 to 796 of the family's 1533-position model. The record is from RNAcentral.
GUGGGGAAUCUUCCGCAAUGGACGAAAGUCUGACGGAGCAACGCCGCGUGAGUGAUGAAGGUCUUCGGAUUGUAAAGCUCUGUUAAUCGGGACGAAAGAGCCUAGUGUGAAUAAUGCUAGGAAGUGACGGUACCGGAAUAGAAAGCCACGGCUAACUACGUGCCAGCAGCCGCGGUAAUACGUAGGUGGCAAGCGUUGUCCGGAAUUAUUGGGCGUAAAGCGCGCGCAGGCGGAUCUGCCAGUCUGUCUUAAAAGUUCGGGGCUUAACCCCGUGAUGGGAUGGAAACUACAGAUCUAGAGUAUCGGAGAGGAAAGUGGAAUUCCUAGUGUAGCGGUGAAAUGCGUAGAUAUCAGGAGGAACACCUGUGGUGUAGACGGCUUUCUGGACCAUGACUGACGCUGAGGCACGAAAGCGUGGGGAGCAAACAGGAUUAGAUACCCUGGUAGUCC